This 334-nucleotide ribosomal RNA is filed under the name Isochrysis galbana. RNAcentral's name for it is "partial Bacterial large subunit ribosomal RNA". It matches the Rfam family "Bacterial large subunit ribosomal RNA", at positions 2166 to 2509 of the family's 2925-position model. Lineage: Eukaryota; Haptophyta; Isochrysidales; Isochrysidaceae. The record is from RNAcentral.
UGCCGCUAGGUAUCAUGGAGCCAAUGGUGAAAUACCGCCCUUUAUUUAUCUGGAGUCUAACUCCCCACGGGAGGACAUUGUAUGGUGGGUAGUUUGACUGGGGUGGUCGCCUCCAAAAGUGUAACGGAGGCUUUCAAAGGUACCCUCAGUACGGUUGGCAAUCGUACGUGGAGUGUAAUGGCAGAAGGGUGCUUGACUGUGAGACCGACGGGUCGAGCAGGGUCGAAAGACGGACAUAGUGAUCCGGUGGUUUCCGCAUGGAAGGGCCAUCGCUCAAAGGAUAAAAGGUACUCCGGGGAUAACAGGCUGAUCUCCCCCAAGAGCUCAUAUCGAC